This is a long non-coding RNA of Cyprinus carpio (common carp), 1293 nucleotides long. The record is from Ensembl. NCBI's taxonomy places the organism in Eukaryota, Metazoa, Chordata, Actinopteri, Cypriniformes, Cyprinidae.
AUGUAUUAUUAUUAUUAUUAUUAUUUUCUAGUUUUGUCUAAAAAGAAGGAGAUGCCAUGCCAUGGAGCGAUAUGUAAUUGGAUAUGGGAUCAAUUAGCAAUUGCAUCUGGAUUUAUCUUUUUAAUUCUUCCUUCAUUGCAAUUUGCUGUUGUGUACUUUGCUUUUGGAGCUGCCAGAGGAGUGAAUGGCGAGCGUGCAGUGGGGGAUCUGAGAGUCAUCGUCUUUCCCUCUGAAAGCCUCUUUGCUUUUUCUCUGUUGAUUUUACUCAUGUUUGGACCCUGUAAGUACAACUGAUGCUUUUUUCUUGGUUUCAUUACAAAUUCUAACCUGAUUAAUGAAAUUUACAUCAACAUAUUUACAAGAAAACAUUUUAACUCUUAUUGGAUUACCAUGAAUUGAAUAUGGCUAAAUAUCUGACUACUGAUGAUCUAUUUUUCUUGACCAAGCAGUUUAUAGAAGUGAUAUGAAGAGUCUAUAUUCUGAUGAGGAUUCAUGCAUGUCUCACGUUAGGAUGGAUGUUGGUUUUUGAUUAACAGUGUGUGUUUCGUAAUUCAAACACACUCGGUCAUCAAUUUCAUUACUGAGAGCUGCUCAGGUUACAUGAAGGAUGAACAGCAAUAACAAACUGAAUUGACUAUUACCAAUGAUGAUGCAUAUUCAAUUUAUUUAUUUUAUUUAACAAUUUCAACAUGAUAAUCAGCAGGAAUGGAUGACUAAAUGAGAUCGAUGAGUGAUUAGUGAAAGCUGAGUGUCAAGUCCAUGAAUCAGCUUUAGUGCAUCUGUGCUUUGAGACUUUACUUAAAUAUCCUUCUCACACUGCUCUUAACACAGGGAUUUCAGACAUGAAGUGUCUGCAGUGUUUUCAGGUUAGUAUCACUGCACUGAAAUGUACUUUAUAUUUAAUAUACACAGCUUGUUUCCUAAUCUAGCUUUCAAUAAGCCUGCUAUUGUAUAUUAUGAAUAUUCUUGACUUACAUGUACAUACAUCUUAUUCAGGAAGCAGCAAGGCCUCUUGACAUUCCAGUCACCAGAUCAGACCAGAACCAGGAUUCUCAGGUGAAUAUCUUUUAUAAGAUCAUAUUGAUAUCAGGUGUAUUCUUGUCCUACAAUUAAAAGCUGCUUUUUUCAUGUAGAUAUAGUUUAAUUUAUUUUUAUAUCUCUUAUCCUGGACUUAGGAUUCAGCAAGAUCUGAAGAAACUCCAACCAAUGGAUUAAACCAGCAUCAGAAAACCACAGAAUCACAUGAAACAAUUCCUCUAGUGAAUAAAGAUAUGGAGGCUAAUAGGAGUGACA